UAUAUAUAUAAAUGUUUUUGCAAAAUUUCAAACCGAAAAUUAGGGUUUUGUUUUAAAAAUCCUCGAUCUCGCGGACACGCCGCCACUCUAGUCCAGUCUUGUUACUAUGAUGCGUGCUUGCUUGCUAGGGUUUAGUCCUCUGUUUUUCAUCAAUAUGGAAGAGAAGAUCUCAUUGUCAUUGCUGGGACGAAGGAUGAGGCCGCGAAGGUAUUGGCUCUCUUCUGAGGAAGUGGUUUCAUGUUUCUCUUCUUUGCCUUGCUAGUUUGUUUCCUUUGAUCUUCAUUGAAGCUAAAAGAAGAAGUUGGUUGUUAAGGAAUCCGUGGAGAAGGUUUAUUUAGCUGGUUCAGAAGUUUGAGAGCUUAUGCCAUCAAAAUGAUCGUUGUUUAUAGGGCCAAGAUUGAAACUUUUGGUGGAUUUCUUGUUGGCAUUUGAUUUCCAUGCUUAUCAGUGCACAUGUCCUGCAGUGGGUGAUGUGCUUGAGAGUAGUUUUCUUAACAUAGGCAACCUUGAUUUGGUGGAAACUAGCACAAUACGCUCUCUAUAUACAAGAGGAAGAAUUGGGAGAGGGUAUUGUGCUUGGACUUGUGCGAAUCAUCAUUGAGAAGAACAAAGCCUGAAUUAUCUGUUUGAAGAGGGAUGUGGUUUAGUGUUAUACAUGUCGUGUUCCAAUAUAUUCUUGUUAAAUCUUUUUAUUGUCAAGUAAUGGUUGUUGAUGAUUCUUCUGAUGCCUAGCUAUGUUCACAACAAUUCCUCUUAUUUGACAGGAUCGAUAGAUCCCAUUGAAAAGAUAUGGUUAAAGUUUUUCA
This is a long non-coding RNA of Dioscorea cayenensis subsp. rotundata (Guinea yam), 806 nucleotides long. RefSeq lists it as uncharacterized. Lineage: Eukaryota; Viridiplantae; Streptophyta; Magnoliopsida; Dioscoreales; Dioscoreaceae. The record is from RefSeq and is a predicted model, not a curated record. The transcript is spliced from 2 exons.